RNAcentral lists this ribosomal RNA (406 nucleotides) under uncultured bacterium. RNAcentral's name for it is "partial 16S ribosomal RNA". It matches the Rfam family "Bacterial small subunit ribosomal RNA", at positions 28 to 526 of the family's 1533-position model. The record is from RNAcentral.
GACGAACGCUGGCGGCGUGCCUAAUACAUGCAAGUCGAACGAGUGGCGGACGGGUGCGUAACACGUGGGAACCUACCCAUCAGAGGGGGAUAACACUUGGAAACAGGUGCUAAUACCGCAUACUGAUGUAUGGACCCUCGGUGCAUUAGCUAGUUGGUGGGGUAAAGGCCCACCUAGGCGACGAUCCCUAGCUGGUCUGAGAGGAUGACCAGCCACACUGGAACUGAGACACGGUCCAGACUCCUACGGUAGGCAGCAGUGGGGAAUAUUGCACAAUGGGCGCAAGCCUGAUGCAGCCAUGCCGCGUGUAUGAAGUAGGCCCUAGGGUUGUAAAGUACUUUCAGUCGGGAGGCGUUACCGACAGAAGAAGCACCGGCUAACUCCGUGCCAGCAGCCGCGGUAAUUC